CCUACGGGAGGCAGCAGUUGGGCGAAAGCCUGAUCCAGCCAUGCCGCGUGAGUGAUGAAGGCCCUAGGGUUGUAAAGCUCUUUCAACGGUGAAGAUAAUGACGGUAACCGUAGAAGAAGCCCCGGCUAACUUCGUGCCAGCAGCCGCGGUAAUACGAAGGGGGCUAGCGUUGUUCGGAAUUACUGGGCGUAAAGCGCACGUAGGCGGAUUGUUAAGUUAGGGGUGAAAUCCCAGGGCUCAACCCUGGAACUGCCUUUAAUACUGGCAAUCUCGAGUCCGAGAGAGGUGAGUGGAAUUCCGAGUGUAGAGGUGAAAUUCGUAGAUAUUCGGAGGAACACCAGUGGCGAAGGCGGCUCACUGGCUCGGUACUGACGCUG
This 377-nucleotide ribosomal RNA is filed under the name Mesorhizobium loti. Its description in RNAcentral is "bacterial SSU rRNA". It matches the Rfam family "Bacterial small subunit ribosomal RNA", at positions 338 to 748 of the family's 1533-position model. Lineage: Bacteria; Pseudomonadati; Pseudomonadota; Alphaproteobacteria; Hyphomicrobiales; Phyllobacteriaceae. The record is from RNAcentral.